GACGAACGCUGGCGGCGUGCUUAACACAUGCAAGUCGAACGCUGAAGCUCAGCUUUUGUUGGGUGGAUGAGUGGCGAACGGGUGAGUAACACGUGAGUAACCUGCCCCCUUCUUUGGGAUAACGCCCGGAAACGGGUGCUAAUACUGGAUAUUCACUGGUCUUCGCAUGGGGGUUGGUGGAAAGGGUUUUUCUGGUGGGGGAUGGGCUCGCGGCCUAUCAGCUUGUUGGUGGGGUGAUGGCCUACCAGGGCUUUGACGGGUAGCCGGCCUGGGAGGGUGACCGGUCACAUUGGGACUGAGAUACGGCCCAGACUCCGACGGGGGGCAGCAGUGGGGAAUAUGGCACAAUGGGCGCAAGCCUGAUGCAGCGACGCCGCGGGAGGGAUGGAGGCCUUCGGGUUGUGAACCUCUUUCGCUCAUGGUCAAGCCGCAACAAUGGUUGUGGUGAGGGUAGUGGGUAAAGAAGCGCCGGCUAACUACGUG
Molecule: ribosomal RNA, 483 nt
Filed under: uncultured bacterium
Lineage: Bacteria
Description: partial 16S ribosomal RNA
Rfam family: Bacterial small subunit ribosomal RNA
Source: RNAcentral